AUGGCUCAAUGGUCGAAUCUUCCUCACGAUCUUCUUGUGUCCAUUGCCAAACUUCUGCUUGUCUUGGAGGAUUUUACUGUUUUUGGUACAGUUUGUAGAUCAUGGAAAUCAGCCGCGAUCAAGGAAAACUUUACUAGAACAUCACAUCAAGUUCCAUUGCUUAUGCUUCCAGAAAGGGAGGGCGCCACAAUCUGAGAGUUCUACAACCUGAAAAAAGGCAAGAUUCACAAACUUAAUCUGCCACCAUUAGCUAAGGAAAAGCUGUGUUAUUCUUCCCUAGGAUGGCUAAAGACUCAGUCCAAUAACGAUUCGAAAUUUAAUCUAUUGCAUCCUUUAAAUCAUGCCCAUGUUGAGCUUCCGGAUCUUGAGAUAUUUAAAUAAUCUCAUCCUCCUCAUCUAGAUCUACUAAGAAAUAUAGCAUUAGUGUUGGGCAAAUUCGUUGUAAGGAAAUUCACCUUAUCAUCAAGCCCUUCUUUCACAUCAGAUUACAUUGUCAUGAUUCAUAGUUGGGGUAAAUUUGCGUUUUGGAGACCAGGAGACCACGAAUGGACCAUAGUGGAUGAUGCAUUUGGAAAACCAUAUCAUAUUUAUUCUGAUUAAACUUAUCAUAACGGACAAUUUUAUGCAGUGAACUCUUCUGGCAAUGUCUUUGUUUGUGAGAUGGAAGAACCUAAGAAAGCAAAGAUGAAACUUGUUGUUCCAAGCAGC
Molecule: long non-coding RNA, 708 nt
Filed under: Prunus dulcis (almond)
Lineage: Eukaryota; Viridiplantae; Streptophyta; Magnoliopsida; Rosales; Rosaceae
Description: sRNA ncRNA
Source: RNAcentral